This 319-nucleotide ribosomal RNA is filed under the name uncultured eukaryote. RNAcentral describes it as "partial 18S ribosomal RNA". It matches the Rfam family "Eukaryotic small subunit ribosomal RNA", at positions 1470 to 1796 of the family's 1831-position model. The record is from RNAcentral.
CCCUUAGAUGUUCUGGGCAGCACGCGCGCUACAAUGGUCUUCGCAAACGGAUGCAUUCUCGAAGGAGAAUGCCAAUCUUGGAAUCUAUGCCUUGGUCGGGACAGUUGCUUGCAAUUUUUCGACUCGAACCAGGAAUUCCUUGUAAUCGUGAUUCAUCACAUCACUAUGAAUACGUCCCUGCCCUUUGUACACACCGCCCGUCGCUCCUACCGAUCGAAGAGUUAGGUGAAUUGUUUUGAUCGAUAAGAUUUGACUAUGGUCAACUCUCGUUGUGAAAUUCUGUGAAUCUGACUGUUUAGAGGAAGGAAAAGUCGUAACA